CUUAUGGGUAGCCAAGAGAUUUAGGCUUAGGGUUUGUGACGAGAGCAAUCUCACCACAUUGCAUUGGAGAAGCCUGGUUGCUCGUCUGUUGCCCAGUCUCCAUUCCCCAGCGGCAGUAUGAUUUAUUGGGAAUUGGGAGCACAGUCUCCAUUCCCCAGCGGCAGUAUGAUUUAUUGGGAAUUGGGAGCCCAGUCUCCAUUCCCCAGCGGCAGUGUGAUAUGGAGGGAAUUGGGAGCCCUGUCUCCAUUCCCCAGCGGCAGGCUGAGUUACAGGGGGCAGAGACAGUUGGUCCUGUCCCCCAGUGGCAGUGUACCUUGCAGGGAGAGGAGAGCAGCGUUCUCCCUCCCCAGUGGCAGGGUGACCUACAGGGAUGCUGGGCAGUCGGCUCAGAUCCCCAGCGGCAGUUUGAAUUACAGGAGUCUGGUCUCCAUUUCCCAGUGGCAGGCUGAGUUAUUGGGAAUAGGGAGCCCAGUCUUAUUAAAGGCUUAUUCGUGCCUUUCUGCCCGGCGGUCGGUAGAUUCAAUCUACCGAACUAACGCACAAAUGACUGGACCACCUGGGAGCUGGAGUGUGUCGGCAAUUAACCUCCCAGAAGCUGCGGUUCACCGCAGCUUAAUUGACGAAUGCUGGGUGGCCUUUGUUCGGUUGCCGAACACGUGGCGGUGGCCAGUUUAAAGUCCCGAACGGCCAGCGGUGUUCAGUGCCCAAACUGUGGAACUGUAAACGGACACUUAUUUGCGCGAACACCGCUGAGCCGUCAGCAUCCUUGCUUCUGCAUUCGGUCAGUUAACCGAAUGCCUGUUCAUUCGGUAGUUUAAACCGUAUGAACAGCAUUACCCCAGAUAGCCAUCCCGUGGAGUCUUUUCAUAUGGAGAACAGACUUUAGGAACACUUUAACUCCACGGCGAUUGGACUGUGUGCAUAGGAUCUGAGCGCUA
Pelobates cultripes (western spadefoot toad) is the source of this 938-nucleotide non-coding RNA. NCBI's taxonomy places the organism in Eukaryota, Metazoa, Chordata, Amphibia, Anura, Pelobatidae. The record is from the annotation of a GenBank genome assembly.